This 1039-nucleotide long non-coding RNA is filed under the name Fukomys damarensis (Damara mole-rat). Its description in RNAcentral is "lncRNA (ENSFDAG00000024271.1)". Lineage: Eukaryota; Metazoa; Chordata; Mammalia; Rodentia; Bathyergidae. The record is from RNAcentral.
GGAACUGUUCUGCGCAUGUGCCCUAGGAUUAACAACUCCUUCCUACAUCCCCAGCCAGUUUGCUACCGCCUGCUCUCAAUCAGCCUGAGUUAGCGAAGCCACGGACCACUCUCCCUCUGGGGAAGGAGCCGCAGCAACAGGCCGCCCAAACAGACAGCAGAGUGGAAGCAUCCGAGUGGUCAUCACCACCAGCGGGGUUUCAGGUCAAGAACAGGCAGAGGGACUCGGGGGAUAGUUCCCUUGAGGCAAGACCUGGAGAAAGUCCCACCAACAGCUGGAUAGACACUUGGGAAAGAGGAGCCAUGGACAUUAGCGUCACAGUAAAUUGAACAAAUGAAGAGAUUGUAAACCGAGUUCGUGCUCAGAGACCCAUGCCGCCGGCAGCCCUCAUUUAGAGAUAUCGUUCAAUACUCUACCUGCCUUUCUUCUAAAGCCGUGCUCACCAGAGGGCCUUUAAGUAGUAACUCAGAUUCCCAAAUAUUUUCAUGGAGGAGAAUGCGCUGGUUGUUGGUAGUGUGUAUACCAGUUGUCAGGAAGGCUUUUUUUUUUUCCUUUUUUUUUUCUGGUACUGGGAAUUGAACUCAGGACCUUGGACUUGACAGGCAGGUGUGGCACCACUGAGCUACAUUUCCAGCUGAGGAAGGCUCUCUUUUGUUAUGUUUAUUAUUGUUACUCUCUGGUCUACACAGCAAACUUCUAUGAGUUUGGUAAAUAUGAGUCAGUUUUAAGAUGAUUUGUUAUGUAGUUAUUUUGAUCCUGCCACACCAAGUGUGAGAUUUUAGACCAUUCCAUCUGUAUUUUUGAGAGCUGUCAUUACAAAAUGCCACAGACUGGAUGUCUUUCCCACCAGAAGCAUAUUUUCUCUUAGUUUUGGAAUGUAGCAAUCCAAGAUCAUGGUGCUGACAAGACUGGACUUGACCGAGGCUCGAGGCUUGCAGUGGGCUGUAUUCCCCCUGUGUGCAUAAGUGUGGUCUUUCCUGUGUGCUCUGUUGUUUCUUCCUCUUCUUGUCUAUUCACCAGCCAGGUUGGAUCAGGCCCC